UAGGGAAUCUUUCCACAAUGGACGCAAGUCUGAUGGAGCAACGCCGCGUGAGUGAAGAAGGGUUUCGGCUCGUAAAGCUCUGUUGUUAAAGAAGAACGUGGGUAAGAGUAACUGUCUACCCAGUGACGGGUAUUUAACCAGAAAGCCACGGCUAACUACGUGCCAG
This 166-nucleotide ribosomal RNA is filed under the name uncultured bacterium. RNAcentral describes it as "partial 16S rRNA". It matches the Rfam family "Bacterial small subunit ribosomal RNA", at positions 355 to 511 of the family's 1533-position model. The record is from RNAcentral.